GGGCUAGCGUUGCUCGGAAUCACUGGGCGUAAAGGGCGCGUAGGCGGACUCUUAAGUCGGGGGUGAAAGCCCAGGGCUCAACCCUGGAAUUGCCUUCGAUACUGAGAGUCUUGAGUUCGGAAGAGGUUGGUGGAACUGCGAGUGUAGAGGUGAAAUUCGUAGAUAUUCGCAAGAACACCAGUGGCGAAGGCGGCCAACUGGUCCGAUACUGACGCUGAGGCGCGAAAGCGUGGGGAGCAAAC
This 242-nucleotide ribosomal RNA is filed under the name uncultured bacterium. RNAcentral's name for it is "partial 16S ribosomal RNA". It matches the Rfam family "Bacterial small subunit ribosomal RNA", at positions 532 to 773 of the family's 1533-position model. The record is from RNAcentral.